GAUUUUGAUCCUGGCUCAGGAUGAACGCUAGCGGGAGGCUUAACACAUGCAAGCCGAGGGGUAUAUAAUUGCUUGCAAUUAUAGAGACCGGCGGAUGGGUGAGUAACGCGUAUGAAACCUGCCCUAUUCAUCAGGAUAGCCCUAGGAAACUGGGAUUAAUACUGAAUAACACUAAUAUCGGCAUCGAUGUUGGUUAAAAGAUUUAUCGGAAUAGGAUGGUCAUGCGUCAGAUUAGUUAGUUGGUAGGGUAACGGCCUACCAAGGCAAUGAUCUGUAGGGGGCCUGAGAGGGUGAUCCCCCACACUGGUACUGAGACACGGACCAGACUCCUACGGGAGGCAGCAGUGAGGAAUAUUGGACAAUGGGUGAGAGCCUGAUCCAGCCAUCCCGCGUGCAGGAAGAAUGCCUUAUGGGUUGUAAACUGCUUUUAUACAGGAAUAAACCACUUUACGUGUAAGGUGUUGAAGGUACUGUAUGAAUAAGCAUCGGCUAACUCCGUGCCAGCAGCCGCGGUAAUACGGAGGAUGCAAGCGUUAUCCGGAUUUAUUGGGUUUAAAGGGUCCGUAGGCGGGCAUAUAAGUCAGAGGUGAAAUCCGACAGCUUAACUGUCGAACUGCCUUUGAAACUGUAUGUCUUGAGUGAGAUUGAAGCAGCUGGAAUGUGUAGUGUAGCGGUGAAAUGCAUAGAUAUUACACAGAACACCGAUAGCGUAGGCAGGUUGCUAAGUCUUUACUGACGCUGAUGGACGAAAGCGUGGGGAGCAAACAGGAUUAGAUACCCUGGUAGUCCACGCCGUAAACGUUGGAUACUGUCUAUUGGAAUUUUCAGUGGAUAAGCGAAAGUGAUAAGUAUCCCACCUGGGGAGUACGUUCGCAAGAAUGAAACUCAAAGGAAUUGACGG
This 901-nucleotide ribosomal RNA is filed under the name uncultured bacterium. RNAcentral's name for it is "bacterial SSU rRNA". It matches the Rfam family "Bacterial small subunit ribosomal RNA", at positions 9 to 916 of the family's 1533-position model. The record is from RNAcentral.